Molecule: small RNA, 97 nt
Filed under: Plasmodium falciparum 3D7
Lineage: Eukaryota; Apicomplexa; Aconoidasida; Haemosporida; Plasmodiidae
Description: Pfa-mtR6340
Source: RNAcentral
CCGGGGAUAACAGGUUAUAGUAUAUAUAGAGCUCUAAUCUUUAUAUACUAUUGGCACCUCCAUGUCGUCUCAUCGCAGCCUUGCAAUAAAUAAUAUC